Molecule: long non-coding RNA, 1070 nt
Organism: Haliotis rubra (blacklip abalone)
Lineage: Eukaryota; Metazoa; Mollusca; Gastropoda; Lepetellida; Haliotidae
Exons: 2
Source: RefSeq, a predicted model, not a curated record
UGUGUUGUAUGUUGUGUACAACAAUGUGACAAGGUUAGCUAAAUAUGUCGGUUUUCUACAGGACAGUUUUCAUUUGUGUACAAGCAGCAUUUUACAUCCACACAAGAGUAUUGUUUUGAUUAUUAUUAUGUAAUAACUGACCAGUUUAUGAAACAUUUCCCACCUUUCUGGGACAUAUCACAACUAACAACUGAAAACAAAAACUGUUUCAAAUCAUGAAUAUGUUGACAUAUUUCGUUUCCACUCUGUAAAAAAAAUAUUUUAAAUACCCAUAUGUAGAGGGUAGAAAUUAAAACACAAUAUUUGUAGCUGUAAAAUAGACAUGUUGAUAUAAGGGUGGGGGUUGCACACUUCAUUUUCACCCGUUUUCACGAGAGUUUUUAUGGUCAUUUAAUACACUUUCAGGACACAAGAGGGGGUCGCAACCCUGCACACACACACCCAUCCCCCAACCACCCACCCCCUCUGGAUCCCCCUAUGUGGAUGUGCCACGAGCUUUAAGCCAAUUCUAAUGCCAGGCUGUAUGAUUACACAAUCUAUAUUUGUGGCCAGUUUCUGUAUCCAAAUUCUGCCUUUAUCACCAUGGCAUAACUUGAUAUUCAAUAACUACAGCCAACAACCCGCUAUGUUGAACUCAGAUCUGUCUUAGUAAUUUACAAGGCAUACCCAGUGGGGUAAAUCAUCACCAAAUUUCCGCUGUUGAGAACUACUUGUAUUUAAGUGGUAUGUCAAGUCGACAGGUCAAAUGUUAUUACAUGUUAUUAAAUGUAUGUAAUACUACAUACAUCAGUGCCAAUACUUUAUAUUUUUCUUUAUAUUUUUCUAUGAAUUAUCAAUUUUGUUUAUGCAAUGUGACCCCAAACUACGUUGCUUUUAUAUAAAUCUGUCGAGAGGUUGAAUGACUAAUCUUUCAAGGACUAGUGUGCAUCUUUAGACUCUGAAUAGCUGUCAUUUAUAAAUCUCAAAAAUAUUUGUUGACCUGUGAAAUAUAUCAUCCAUUUAACAUAGGUUUUCAUUAUAAACGGUUAACAAUGGUUGGGGUGUCAGUAAUAAUCUAGAAUAAUUUUACA